RNAcentral lists this transfer RNA (361 nucleotides) under uncultured Microcystis sp. Its description in RNAcentral is "partial 16S-23S ribosomal RNA intergenic spacer". The stretch from base 136 to 209 matches the Rfam family "tRNA". Lineage: Bacteria; Bacillati; Cyanobacteriota; Cyanophyceae; Chroococcales; Microcystaceae. The record is from RNAcentral.
AAAGGGAGACCUAAUUCGGGUAUGGGAUGAAAAAAAAGUAGUCCCAACCAAGAAUCAAUCCCAAAAGGUCGGAGCGAGGCGAAAUUGGCUUUCAAACUAGGUUCUGGGUUCACUGAAGACCUGAAUCAGGAACAAGGGCUAUUAGCUCAGGUGGUUAGAGCGCACCCCUGAUAAGGGUGAGGUCCCUGGUUCGAGUCCAGGAUGGCCCACCUGCACAGGUGGUAAAAACAAGAGAAGCGAGGAAUCAGCACCUUAUCUUACUUACAUAGUAAGAGAGAAUGCUGGCUCUGAGUAAAGAGUCCAGAGGAACCUUGAAAACUGCAUAGAGCUAGGUGAAAAAGCCAAAAAAGAAGACCGCAAG